CUUGCCUGCCCUGAUGGUUCUAAUCCGCAGAGUCUCCAGUAGUGGUUCUUCUGGAAGCAGCAACAGCAAGGCUGAUGUUCUGAUAGAGCCUGGAAGGACACAUCACCUCCCAUGCAAAGAGUCCUCUUCACAAGAAUAACAGGAGCUCCAAUUACUGCCCACUUACUAGACAACUCUGCCUGGCAUGAUGCACACACACUAAUUUGAUCUUCUAAACCAUCUAUGAGUGAUUUCCUGUCUUCUGAUAGCCCAUCGUGUCCAUCCCCUCCUGCUGCUUUGCUGGAUACACAGGUGAGGAAGAAUCAAUUCUGUGAGCAAAGGCAGGUGGGAGGAGGGAGGCCACCUCCUUUGGGGAGCUCGGGUUGGCUCACCUGGGUCAGCAUUAUGUCCCAAGAGGAGGGGGAGGAAGGUGGGAAGUUGGAAUUACUAUGUCUGGUACAAACUCUGCCUGUAUAAUCAGUGGUCUCACCUUGGGCAGAUUUCUUUCCCUCUUUAAUUUUCUCAAGCAUAAAUUAAUCACGUAUGCAGGACUUGGAAACAACUAGUGAGCUAAGAGGUACAAACAUGAUUUUAAAACUAAUGCCAGGGGGCAGGUGGUGUGCACACAGUUGAGUGCACGUGCUACAAUGCACGUGCACAAGGACCUGGGUUCAAGCCCCUGGCCCCCACCUGCAGGAGAAAAGCUUCACACGAGGUAAAACAAUGCUGCAGGUAUCUCUAUCUCUCUCCCCCUACCUCCCCACUCCCCUUGUGCUUUCUCUGUUUCUACCCAAAUAAAUAAAUCAAAUAUUAAAAAACUUUGAUGUCCACACAAGGAUCCCGGUUGGAGUCCUUGGCUCCCCACCUGCAGGGGGGUUGCUUCAUAAGUGGUGAAGCAGGUCUGCAGGAGUCUCUCUGUUCUAUCCAAUAAAAAAAAAAAAAAAAAGAUGGCCUCCAGGAACAGUGGAUUUGUAGUGAGUCCCAGUGAUAACCCUGGAGGCAAAAAACAAAACAAAACUUGAAUGUACCAGACAAAUAUGUGGUUGCACCAUCUCUUUUCUGAUUGUGGUGGCCAUAACUGACUUCAGGGCCUGGGCUCAACUUCCUAGAUGACUGUACACAUGCUCCCAUCACUAACCUCUGUGUCCCAUCUACACUGCCACCCUACUUCCACGUUCAGUGGCAGAGGGGUGGUCCACCCUUUGGAAAUUGCAGAGCAGAUUUAAGAACCCAGAUACUCAGGAAGAGAGACUCACAAGCUCAGAGAAGGACCCUGUGAAAGGGGCUGCCCAUCACCUCUGCCAAAUGUUAAGUGGUGGGCUUUUCUUCUGACCUUAAAGAUGUUGUUCUGGGUGGGAGUGUCGAUGCCCAAAUGAAGCAUGGCCUCUCUGGUCACCUCAAAACAAUCCUCUGAAAAGGAAUUCAAGUCGUAGCCCAGUGUCAGGACCAGCAGUCAGCAGAGGUGAUGAGGGGGUGAGGAAGGUAGGCCCUGUACAGAGGGUGAAUGGGUGCUGUGGGGCCAGCCCAAGGAGCUGGGUAAAACGACUACCUUCCAAAGUCCUCUCUGGGUUGGGCAGCCAGGAGAAGACUGCUCCCUCGGGGAGGUGCCACUGGAGCCUCUCAUCCAUAUUGGCUCCUUUGCAAAUCUGCAAAAGUGAAAGGGGAGUGGCUGAGCUCAGGGAGUGAAGGAAAUAGGUUUAUGAAGACCUGGGGCUGUAACAAGGAAAGAGACAAUGGCGACAACCCCAAGGCCAAGAGGCCCCUUAGAGCUCCCCGGGCAGCCAUAGGAGCAAAAGGAGGAAAUAGUUCUACAUGGCUCCAACUUGAUAGAAACAAAAAGCCUGCUGGGGACACCUGUACACUAGUGAAGAAGGCAUGACACCUUGCUUGGAGGGCCAGGAUGCUUUUAAUACUGCAGCAGUGAGAUACACUAUCCACGUCUCAGGAACUAACAUGAAUGGACCACUUCGGGAAAGCCCUCUUUCUACCGGAGGAGACAGUCACCAUUCUACGGGAGUCCGAGCUACCAGGUUCCAGAUGCCAUCAGGAUGCCGGCCAGGCUUCCCUGGACUAAAGACCCCACCAGUGUGUCCUGGAUCUCUGCUUCCCCAGAGACCCACCCUACUAGGGAAAGAGAGAGGCAGACUGGGAGUAUGGACCGACCAGUCAACGUCCAUGUUCAGCAAGGAAGCAAUUACAAAAGCCAGACCUUCUACCUUCUGCAACCCACAACGACCCUGGGUCCAUGCUCCCAGAGGGAUAGAGAAUGGGAAAGCUAUCAGGGGAGGGGAUGGGAUAUGGAGAUUGGGUGGUGGGAACUGUGUGGAGUUGUACCCCUCCUACCCUAUGGUUUUGUUAAUUUAUCCUUUCUUAAAUAAAAAACAAAUUUAAAAAAAUCCUCAUGUUGUAGUCUGGGAGGUGGCACAGUG
Molecule: long non-coding RNA, 2408 nt
Organism: Erinaceus europaeus (western European hedgehog)
Lineage: Eukaryota; Metazoa; Chordata; Mammalia; Eulipotyphla; Erinaceidae
Exons: 4
Source: RefSeq, a predicted model, not a curated record